Molecule: ribosomal RNA, 466 nt
Filed under: uncultured bacterium
Lineage: Bacteria
Description: bacterial SSU rRNA
Rfam family: Bacterial small subunit ribosomal RNA
Source: RNAcentral
GACGGGGCCCGCACAAGCGGUGAUCAUGUGUUCAAUUCGACGCUACGCGAAGAACCUUACCUGGGCUCGAACGACUAGUGGUACCUUUAUGAAAGUAGAGGGGACCCGCAAGGGAGCUAGCCGAGGUGCUGCAUGGUUGUCGUCAGCUCGUGUCGUGAGAUGUUGGGUUAAGUCCCGCAACGAGCGCAACCCCUGUCCUGUGUUGCUACUCCGCAAGGAGAGGACUCUCAGGAGACUGCCGUGGAUAACACGGAGGAAGUGGGAUGACGUCAAAUCAUCAUGGCCUUUAUGUCCAGGGCUACACACGUGAUACAAUGGUACAGACAGAGGGCUGCAAGACCGUAAGGUGGAGCCAAUCCCUAAACUGUAUCCCAGUUCAGAUCGAGGGCUGCAAUUCGCCCUCGUGAAGUUGGAAUCGCUAGUAAUCGCAGAUCAGCAGGCUGCGGUGAAUACGUUCCCGGGCCUU